This 305-nucleotide ribosomal RNA is filed under the name uncultured bacterium. Its description in RNAcentral is "bacterial SSU rRNA". It matches the Rfam family "Bacterial small subunit ribosomal RNA", at positions 338 to 659 of the family's 1533-position model. The record is from RNAcentral.
CCUACGGGGGGCAGCAGCGGGGAAUAUUGCACAAUGGGGGAAACCCUGAUGCAGCGACGCCGCGUGAGUGAAGAAGUAAUUCGUUAUGUAAAGCUCUAUCAGCAGGGAAGAAAAUGACGGUACCUGAGUAAGAAGCCCCGGCUAACUACGUGCCAGCAGCCGCGGUAAUACGUAGGGGGCAAGCGUUAUCCGGAUUUACUGGGUGUAAAGGGAGCGUAGGUGGCAGGGUAAGCCAGAAGUGAAAACCCGGGACUAAACUCCGCGGAUUGCUUUUGGAACUAUCAGGCUGGAGUGCUGGAUGGGUA